AUACUCUGGUUUCUCUUCAGAUCGUAUAAAUCUUUCGCCUUUUACUAAAGAUUUCCGUGGAGAGGAACAUUCGUGAGUUCUUAAGCAAUUUUUAGAAGCCUUGCGCUUUUGCAGGGCU
Molecule: small nuclear RNA, 118 nt
Filed under: Procavia capensis (Cape rock hyrax)
Lineage: Eukaryota; Metazoa; Chordata; Mammalia; Hyracoidea; Procaviidae
Description: U5 spliceosomal RNA (ENSPCAG00000019158.1)
Rfam family: U5 spliceosomal RNA
About the family: U5 RNA is a component of both types of known spliceosome. The precise function of this molecule is unknown, though it is known that the 5' loop is required for splice site selection and p220 binding, and that both the 3' stem-loop and the Sm site are important for Sm protein binding and cap methylation.
Source: RNAcentral